AUGUACCACUCGUACACUGCGGUUCCUGCGCGCCGUCCGCGCCCACCUGACGGCUGCUCGCUACGUUUUGUUAGCC
RNAcentral lists this small RNA (76 nucleotides) under Xanthomonas vasicola. Its description in RNAcentral is "sX9 sRNA". It matches the Rfam family "Xanthomonas sRNA sX9". The record is from RNAcentral. RNAcentral also lists the same sequence under 10 other names. Lineage: Bacteria; Pseudomonadati; Pseudomonadota; Gammaproteobacteria; Lysobacterales; Lysobacteraceae.